RNAcentral lists this ribosomal RNA (520 nucleotides) under uncultured Entrophospora. RNAcentral's name for it is "SSU rRNA". It matches the Rfam family "Eukaryotic small subunit ribosomal RNA", at positions 569 to 1080 of the family's 1831-position model. Lineage: Eukaryota; Fungi; Glomeromycota; Glomeromycetes; Entrophosporales; Entrophosporaceae. The record is from RNAcentral.
AGCAGCCGCGGUAAUUCCAGCUCCAAUAGCGUAUAUUAAAGUUGUUGCAGUUAAAAAGCUCGUAGUUGAAUUUCGGGAUUGGCGCAUCGGUCGUGCCUUACGGGGUAUGAACUGGUGCAGUCAAUUUCUCACCUUCUGGAGAACCGCGAUGUCCUUAAUUGGGUGCCGCGGGGAACCAGGACCUUUACUUUGAAAAAAUUAGAGUGUUUAAAGCAGGCAUUUUUGCUUGAAUACAUUAGCAUGGAAUAAUAAAAUAGGACGGCAUGGUUCUAUUUUGUUGGUUUCUAGGACCACCGUAAUGAUUAAUAGGGAUAGUUGGGGGCAUUAGUAUUCAAUUGUCAGAGGUGAAAUUCUUGGAUUUAUUGAAGACUAACUACUGCGAAAGCAUUUGCCAAGGAUGUUUUCAUUAAUCAAGAACGAAAGUUAGGGAAUCGAAGACGAUCAGAUACCGUCGUAGUCUUAACCAUAAACUAUAGCCGACUAGGAAUCAGACGAUGACUUAAUUUUUAUGUACUUCGUU